AUUGAACGCUGGCGGCAGGCCUAACACAUGCAAGUCGAGCGGCAGCGGAAAGUAGCUUGCUACUUUGCCGGCGAGCGGCGGACGGGUGAGUAAUGUCUGGGAAACUGCCUGAUGGAGGGGGAUAACUACUGGAAACGGCAGCUAAUACCGCAUAACGUCGCAAGACCAAAGAGGGGGACCUUCGGGCCUCUUGCCAUCAGAUGUGCCCAGAUGGGAUUAGCUAGUAGGUGGGGUAACGGCUCACCUAGGCGACGAUCCCUAGCUGGUCUGAGAGGAUGACCAGCCACACUGGAACUGAGACACGGUCCAGGCUCCUACGGGAGGAAGCAGUGGGGAAUAUUGCACGAUGGGCGCAAGCCUGAUGGAGCCAUGCCGCGUGUAUGAAGAAGGCCUUCGGGUUGUAAAGUACUUUCAGCGGGGAGGAAGGCGUUGAGGUUAAUAACCUCAGCGAUUGACGUUACCCGCAGAAGAAGCACCGGCUAACUCCGUGCCAGCCGCCGCAGUAA
This 506-nucleotide ribosomal RNA is filed under the name uncultured bacterium. Its description in RNAcentral is "partial 16S ribosomal RNA". It matches the Rfam family "Bacterial small subunit ribosomal RNA", at positions 29 to 523 of the family's 1533-position model. The record is from RNAcentral.